AGUAAAAACUGACCGAGUAAAUGUGAAUAUUUUUUCACUUGAACACUCUGAUCUGUUUGGAACUUAAUUUCCUUACUCAUGAAAUUAAUAUAAUAAGGCUAAGUUGGUCAGUAGUUAAACUAACUAAAUUUGGCUGAAGAUUGCUAUGUUCACUAUGCAAAGAUUAGACCGUUAGUUCCCUGAGUGAAGAGAUGCUAUCUUGGUAUCUCCAGCUUCCAACCGGGGGCUUGGCACAGAAUAGGGGCUUGGUAAAUGUUUUCCAAAUGAAUGGGAUGUCUGAUGGAAAGAAGACAAGGUGAAGGAAUUCCUGGGUAAUAUGGAGAUGAGAAUCUGUGAGAAGGAUACAUGUACUGAUGCCUGUCGCGGUGGACACACAGACGCACACAUUGCGGAACACCACCAUAAGAAUAUUGAGAAUAUCGAGAACACUUCAAUAUUCCAAACUUCAAUGGAAAUAUACAUGCUGUAAAAUUUCAAAUUCAUGCUCCACUUCUUAUAAAAGAAAUCCAGCAGCUUAAGGGUAGAAGAAAGAUAACAGGAGUCUGUCCCUUCGGCCAAAGAGUUUCUUUUCAAAGUUCGUGGUGGCAGCCUGAUGUCAGCUGGGGAAGAAGCUCCAUUCUUUUUCUGGCAGAACUGACUUCUUUGCGGGAGAGCUGUGGCAGCCCCUUUGCUUAUUCCCAGCAUGGAAAGACCACAAGAUCCCUGCUCCUUAUGGCUCUGGCAUGCAAUGCACUCCCUAGAGGGACCCCUUACAAGGCUACCAAUAACCUAUCAGCACCUCCAACUCUUACUACUGCACUGAAGGUUAGAGUCAGAUUUUGAUGAUGUCUCUUUUCAUUAAAUUUCCAGACUACAUAGAAACCUGGGGUGAUAGGUCUUUCUUCAUGCUUUUAGCUGUAUGAUCUUUAGCAAAAAUUCCUUCAAUUCUUAAUGAUCAGCAUUGCUAUAAGAUGUUCCCUAUUUAUGACAUCUGCAGAUUAUUUUGAUGGAAAACUUGGACGGAAUAAAAGGUAGUUAAAUGCAUCCUCAAGUUGCCAUUUUUAACUGAAAGCCAUCUCUGCUUUUAUGAAAUCUGGGACAGCUACCAAAUUAACACCCACAUGUACUAGUAAUGGCUGGCAGAGUAGAGAAUCGGGGGCAGAAAAUCUAUGCUGUGUUCUUAAUCCAUUUCUCAGUCAUCACCUACAAGCAGAUGUCUCCUACAAGAACAUCAAUUUAGUGGCCAAGAGUAUCUUGGAAAGAGGAAGCCAAGAUAUUUUUCUAAUGUGUGGCUUUCCAAUAUUUUUGACAUCUAGAAGUCACCAGAUCAAUUAAAUACUCAAUCAUGUUCUGCUGCUUCUUCCAUUGUGCAGUGCCAUUUGUCAGGGCCCUUCAGGAACACAGGCAGAUACCUUUAUGAAACCUCUGUUAUCCCACUGUAAACUGUCUCACAUUAAUAAGAUUUACCUUCAGGUGGAAGGAAAUUCACAUAAUUCCUCCCAUAUGUGAGUUUCUUCUUCUAAGUUUAUAUGGUCAACAUCUCAUUGCACAU
This 1531-nucleotide long non-coding RNA is filed under the name Homo sapiens (human). RNAcentral describes it as "HSALNT0352725". The record is from RNAcentral. Lineage: Eukaryota; Metazoa; Chordata; Mammalia; Primates; Hominidae.